This 1816-nucleotide long non-coding RNA is filed under the name Homo sapiens (human). Its description in RNAcentral is "HSALNT0262431". Lineage: Eukaryota; Metazoa; Chordata; Mammalia; Primates; Hominidae. The record is from RNAcentral.
UAGGAAAGGGAGAGAAAGAGAGAAAAAGAGACAGAAUAUCAAGAAGCCGUCACUUGCCCAGGCAUUCCAAAUCAUGUCAGUCCACACUCCAGUGUGAAACACCUGGAGGCUGGAGUCCCUGGCUUACCUGUUGUUGUCCCUGGCUUACCUGGAGUCCCUGGCUCCGGGCUUCCCUCCGCGUGCUGCUGCUCCUCCAGGUCCCCCCCGGUGGCUCUCGCGCGCCCCCAGGCGGCCACGUCGCGGAGCAGCUCCGUCACGUUGUGUUGAGUGAUCUCCCCGGCCGUCUAACAGUAGAAGGGGCGUGGCCAGACGUCGGGGCCAGGAUGGCGGGGCGGGGCUUAGAACGCUGGGAGUCCUCGGUCCAGGACUAGAACUCCCGCAGCUGCUUGGAGGAUGUGAAGUGGGGCGGGACCUAUCCCGCGGGGAUGGGGCCUGUUCUCUGAAUGGAGUCGUUCCCACCAAGCGACGGGCGGGGUCUGGAGCUGGGGGCGGGGCCUGCUGUGGGGGCGGGGCCUUGCGCACCCACCGACCCCCAGCCCCACCUCUACCCCCAGUCCCAGCCUCGCCGCGCACCUUGACUGGCUGGCCGUUGCUCGUCCGCAGGAGGCUCUCGUCGUCCGCUUCGAUGCCGAAGGCCACGAAGGGCCCCGUGGCGAUGUCCCCCCAGUACCCGCGCGCUGCCACGCGCUCCCCACGCUGGAAAAGGAGGGAGAGAGGAGGCAGGUAAUCUAGAGAUGAUUUGCGGUGUAUGGGACCAUGUGUACAGGCUAUUUGACUCGGGAAUCUGGGCUCUCAUCUUCAUCCCAGCUCACGUUGAACCUCCUGCGAGGCCAGAACUUCGCUCGGGACAGGGUCCGCAGCAGGUGCCGUCCAUCCACAGAGCCCAGAAGCAGCACAUCUAGCUCGGGGUUGCUGUGCACUGUAUCGGCCUGGGAGUCUGGGUCCACAGGAGGACCUGGCAAGAUGACAGCUGGCUGGGGCACCAUGGUGGUUGGCAGAGCGUCCACCGUAGCAUCCCCUAUAAAAAAUGGACUACAAAUCCCAGUAGGCGUUCCGCCCGUGGCCUAGGUUCUAAGGGGAGGUGUUUCCUCUGAGUAUUCUGGGAUUCGCAGUCCGCAGACAGGACCUCGGGGCUGCCCCUGGGAGCGCGCCCUCUGCCGCUGGAGCGUUGGAGAACGUUAGCGCCCCCCUUGCCACCGACGCUGGGACUACGAGCUCUAAAAGGCCGUCUGCUCAGGCUGGGAAGGCAGACGGUGUAUCAGACCUUGCGUGCUGGGACUCACUUUCAGCCUGCAGGUCCAGCGCCGGGGACAGGCCCCACCAGGACACGGAGCCGAAGCCGCUGCCGGAGCCGGCAGGUGUGGUCAUCACCCUGCGGAAAAGACAUUCUGGGAAUCGCACACAUUGCCCGCCCCGCUCCCCUCUCACCGCCCCUCACUUCUCGCCCCUUUGCCUCCACAUGAUACCUUGCCCACACCUUUAUCCUCCAAAUAUCCCGGGACGCCCCUUCCUCUCUGCUCAGUGCAGCACUGUGGACCCGCGGCACUCCACAACCGCUGCCCAGAGUCCCCGCCCUUUUCGAGGAAUCAAGCAAUGGAAGCAUGUGGGAUGGGACCACAGCGAGCAACUGACCAAUGAGAGUGAGCGAGGCCCGCCCUCUACAAACUUUUGGCCAAUGGGAGCACUGAGGGCCAGCCUUCCCCCACACCUAGGAGAAGAGGGCGUGUGGACGCGGUUGUCAUGACGACGGCGCCGGCGGGGGAAGGGGCGGUGCUAGAACAGGUUGGGGCGGAGUCAGGGUCGGUCCAAAUUUCUG